CCUACGGGUGGCAGCAGUGAGGAAUAUUGGUCAAUGGCCGGAAGGCUGAACCAGCCAAGCCGCGUGAAGGACGAAGGUGCCAAGCAUUGUAAACUUCUUUUGUCAAGGGACAAAAUCAGGCUCGAGAGCCUGAACGAGGGUCCUUGAACAAAAAGCAUCGGCAAACUACGCGCCAGAAGCCGCGGUAAUCCGGAGGAUGAGAGCGUUAUCCGGAUGUAUUGGGUUUAAGGGGUGGGUAGGCGGACUGUUAAGUCAGCGGUAAAAGCCCGGGGCGAAACUCCGCGGGGCCGUUGAAACUGGAUGUCUGGAGAUGUGAGGAGGUAGGCGGAAUGCGGAG
RNAcentral lists this ribosomal RNA (337 nucleotides) under uncultured bacterium. Its description in RNAcentral is "partial 16S ribosomal RNA". It matches the Rfam family "Bacterial small subunit ribosomal RNA", at positions 338 to 673 of the family's 1533-position model. The record is from RNAcentral.